GAUGAACGCUGGCGGCGUGCCUAAUACAUGCAAGUCGAGCGAACAGACGGGGAGCUUGCUCCUCUGACGUUAGCGGCGGACGGGUGAGUAACACGUGGAUAACCUACCUAUAAGACUGGGAUAACUUCGCGAAACCGGAGCUAAUGCCGGAUAAUAUAUUGAACCGCGUGGUGCAAUAGUGAAAGACGGUUUUGCUGUCGCUUAUAGAUGGAUACGCGUCGCAUUAGCUAGUUGGUAAGGUAACGGCUUACCAAGGCAACGAUGCGUAGCCGACCUGAGAGGGUGAUCGGCCAGACUGGAACUGAGACACGGUCCAGACUCCUACGGGAGGCAGCAGUAGGGACUCCUCCGCAAUGGGCGAGAGCCUGACGUAGCAACGCCGCGUGAGUGAUGAAGGUCUUCGGAUCGGAAAGCUCUGUUAGUAGUGAAGAACAAAUGUGUAAGUAGCUAGGCACGUCUUGACGGUACCUAAUCAGAAAGCCACGGCUAACUACGUG
Molecule: ribosomal RNA, 497 nt
Filed under: uncultured bacterium
Lineage: Bacteria
Description: partial 16S ribosomal RNA
Rfam family: Bacterial small subunit ribosomal RNA
Source: RNAcentral